AGAGGGUGCGAGCGUUAAUCGGAGUUACUGGGCGUAAAGGGCGCGUAGGCGGUGAUAUGAGUGUGGUGUGAAAGCCCCGGGCUUAACCUGGGAAGCGCAUCGCAAACGAUAUGACUAGAGUAGAUGAGAGGGUGGCGGAAUUUCCGGUGUAGCGGUGAAAUGCGUAGAGAUCGGAAGGAACGUCAAUGGCGAAGGCAGCCACCUGGCAUCAUACUGACGCUGAGGCGCGAAAGCGUGGGGAGCGAACAGGAUUAGAUACCCUGGUAGUCCACGCUGUAAACGAUGAGUACUAAAGGUUGGUAGGGGAACCUAUCAGUCUUGAAGCUAACGCGAUAAGUACUCCGCCUGGGAAGUACGGCCGCAAGGUUG
Molecule: ribosomal RNA, 369 nt
Filed under: uncultured bacterium
Lineage: Bacteria
Description: bacterial SSU rRNA
Rfam family: Bacterial small subunit ribosomal RNA
Source: RNAcentral